AAAUCUUUGUAACGAUUAGUUUGUGUGAAAGCUGUCCGACACAUUAAAAUUAAAAAUGUAGUUAAUGGAAUGUAAUAUAAUUAUUUUUUCAUCUUUUGAUCAGCGAUAACAUUGGCAAUUUUUCUCAAAACUACAGUAGCGCGUUACAUAAUGGAAUACUAAAUUAAUUCUAUACAGUUUGUAAUCCUAUAAUAAAAAGUAAAGUGACGAAAAGAGGAUAAAAAGUAUGACAAGUCUUUGAAAGAAGAAAUAUUAAGAGCAUUGCAUUGUAUACAAAACUUUUAUUUAUUUAACGAUAUAUAUUUAUGGAAUAUAUUUAUGGGAUUAUACUUUCCAUUAGGUACAUGUCGUUUGAAAAGCUUUUCCUUAUAUUUCUUUCCUUUACACACUUGAAACGUAUACUGAGAGAUUUGCAAUGUACUCACCCGAUGAUUUUAACAUAAACCGUAGUAUAUAAUUGUCUCUUUAUGUUUUAUAAAAUAUAAAUCAAGAUUCUGUCCUUCCUCCCCUUCUCUCUCUCUGUCUGUCUAAUGAUCUCUAGAAUAUACAAAUGGAUACUCCAUUUCAUUUCAAGUUCUUUCUACAUAUUAAAUUGCAACUUAAAAGUAGAGAGAAAGUUAUCAGCCGCACACAGUUUCAAUAAGAUACGUAUAUGGAUCGAGCACACAGCGAAGGCACUCCAUCUUGGAGCUGUAUCGCAAGACAGAGUGAAGAAAGUAGCGAUUCUUUAUCCCAUAAACAAGAU
This is a long non-coding RNA of Formica exsecta, 745 nucleotides long. RefSeq lists it as uncharacterized. The record is from RefSeq and is a predicted model, not a curated record. The transcript is spliced from 2 exons. Lineage: Eukaryota; Metazoa; Arthropoda; Insecta; Hymenoptera; Formicidae.